UAAAGUGGCGAACGGCUGAGUAACACGUGGGCAACCUGCCCUUUGCACUGGGAUAGCCUCGGGAAACCGAGGUUAAUACCGGAUACUCCAUAUUUGUCGCAUGGCGAAUAUGGGAAAGCUCCGGCGGCAAAGGAUGGGCCCGCGGCCUGUUAGCUAGUUGGUGGGGUAGUGGCCUACCAAGGCAAUGAUGGGUAGCCGGGUUGAGAGACCGACCGGCCAGAUUGGGACUGAGACACGGCCCAGACUCCUACGGGAGGCAGCAGCAC
Molecule: ribosomal RNA, 266 nt
Filed under: uncultured Atopobium sp.
Lineage: Bacteria; Bacillati; Actinomycetota; Coriobacteriia; Coriobacteriales; Atopobiaceae
Description: partial 16S ribosomal RNA
Rfam family: Bacterial small subunit ribosomal RNA
Source: RNAcentral